ACCUGUCACAAAAGAAGCAAAAGGACUUAAACUGGGCAUCACCUUAGCAUCCCCUGGUCAGUCCGGAGAUUAUGAGUACCCAACUUGAGCUGGCAAAGAACUUCAAGGUAUCUUCUAGUUCCUCCAUCCCCCAACUCCUGUUGUCCUGCCUGCAAUGCUCAGACAUCUCUCCCUGUCCUUCAUGUGCCAUGGAGGCUGAUUUAUUGUAUAAGAGCACGAAGGGCAAAGAGCUAUCCUACACCUGGUGACUAGUAAGAGAAACCAGGACCAUGCCUGUCCAUCACCUUUGCCAAAUGACAACUCCUGGUUCUCUGGAACUCUCCAAUAGAUGAGGAAAAUAUCUUCAAGAGCCCACAUGCAUGAUGCGGAGUUUGACACAAAUCAAAGCCGCCUCAGGAAAACACAACCUGAAGGUCUAUUUUCUACUUUCCCUAUAAAUUCUCCUGGAUUCUCUUCUGCAACUUGGAGAUGGAAGCAAAAGUGCUCGACAGAAGCAUUGAAGGAGAAUGCUUGAGAUUACUGGUCUCAAGAUCUCAUCUUAUGGCUUGCUAGCUACAUGACUAAGGGCAAGGAACUCUGCCUCCAUCUGUCACUACUGCUCUGCUACUGUAGGGACAAGAAGAGAAUCUUAAAAUUGCACAGUUGCAAGUAAAUAAGAUGAAUUAAGUUGAGAAUAUAGCAUCUUGUAUAUAGAUUAUAUCAUACAAUCAAUAUUUCAUGCAAUUAUUUUAAUCGCUGUUAUCAUCACUACCAUCACCACCACCACCACCACCACCACCACUACCGUUAUCUUCAACGAUAAUCGUUGACUGAAUCUGCCUUCUAAAGUGUUUCAGUCUAAUUUACUGGCUUAAUUUAUUUCUCAACAUAUAGUGUACAAUACAAAUGGUACCUGGUAUAUUUAAAGCUGAUGAGAGACCACUGGAUAUGGAAGACAUUGUCGCUGACCACAUUGGGUUUACUGUCCUUCACCAGGAACUGAAAACUAUCCAUCACUUUCUGGAUCUUCUCCUCAUACAACACAUAACGAAUCAACCCCAAGUUCACAUGCUCUGUGAGAAAAACAGAGUCCCAGAAUCCACUGUGAGCGAGUGAGAAGGUUCCUGAGAACACACCCUGGGUGAAGGUGGCUGCCGCUCUGCCCGGCUGCAGCUUGUUCUCCAGGUAGCCAUGCAUGGGGCCUGUGGUGACCUCAUAGAUAAGCUGUGAGUCCUCUGUGUCUGGAUCCACGGUCAGCAGUUCCUUCUUGGUGAUCAGAUGUUAUCCGUUGUAGCUGGGCACCUGCACGCCCAGUUUGAGACACUAUUUCCCAGCUUGCUGUGAAACAUCAGUGUGCAUCUGACCAAUUUCUUGCCAACAGAAUAUGGGAUACUGACUCAUUUCUGUCUGUGUAGUCAACAACAGGCACUCAGCAAUGGGCGACACCAUCACAGUGAAGAGCCUACAGCGGUAAGGGUCAAGCUAAUCAGAAGCAGCUACAGUGGGAAAAGGACAAAGUGAUAGCCUGCCCGGCGUCGCCACCGAACAGAUAGAGCAGAUGCACGCAGGGCAGAGGAAUCCCAAAAGCCACUGCAGAUGUGAUGAGCAGCCCAGGAUGGCCUUCUGGGUCUCUGAAGGACACAGGCUGAUGUCCUUUCCAGGAGUGUAAUCGUCUCCCACCAGUGAAGGACAGAAACUCACCAGGAGCGAGAAAGACCCUUUCUGUCCUGGAGGAACAGCAGGCUCUGUGCACACCGUUCUCCAACACUGCUUCUGUGGAGCUGGACAUAGGUGUGUAGGGUGUUGGGGUGUCCCCAGCCCACCCUCUACCAGAGAUGCAGUGACUCCAGGGGGAGUUCAUGGAAUGGCAAGUUCUGUUAAUGAACAAAGUACUGAGCAAAUGGUACACAAGGCGGUGGGUAAGGAGUUCACACAUACGUCACUUGUGUGUGUGUGUGUGUGUGUGUGUGUGUGUGUGUGUGUGUGUGCAUGUAGAGCCAGAAGUCAACCUCAGGUAUUGUUCUUCAGUAGCUAACCUGGGGAUUGCUCAUUAGAUUAGGCUGGCUCUAGAGAUGAGCCUGUCUCUGUCUCCCCAGUGCUGGAACUACAAGCACACCCCACCAUGCUAAGCUUUACUCAUUGGUUCUGGAGACUGAAGACAGGUGCUCAAAACCACACAGCAAAGGCUUUCAAACUCAAAUCAUCUCCCCAGCUCCCUUUCCCUCAAUCUUGGAAAGAGAAAACCUGGGAAGUCGCUCAACCUCAAUAGCAAGGCAUCUUAUAGGAUACACAGGCUGAUCCUAAAAUGGUAAUGAUGAAGAUGAAUGUAGACAUUCUCUGAUGUUUCUGUGGGUCUGCCAUGGGACAGAGGACCUCAUGAACUUAGGAGAGGAGGAACUACCUCCAUUUCAUAGAUAGGGAAGCUGAGGCUUUCAAAGGAACAUGACUUACAAAGACACUCAGCCAAGUGGCAGAGCCAGGACUAAAACUGGUAAAAAUCCUCUUGAGAGCGAGAAACUCUCAGUGACUGGUUGGAAUGAGGAGUCUUAGAACACACACACACACACACACAC
This is a long non-coding RNA of Mus musculus (house mouse), 2552 nucleotides long. RefSeq annotates it as predicted gene, 32995. The transcript has 6 exons. Lineage: Eukaryota; Metazoa; Chordata; Mammalia; Rodentia; Muridae. The record is from RefSeq and is a predicted model, not a curated record.